GCGGGCAUGGCGGAAUUGGCAGACGCGCAAGAUUCAGGUUCUUGUGGCCGAAAGGUCGUGGAGGUUCAAGUCCUCUUGCCCGCA
This is a transfer RNA of Pirellula staleyi DSM 6068, 84 nucleotides long. It matches the Rfam family "tRNA". Rfam says of the family: Transfer RNA (tRNA) molecules are approximately 80 nucleotides in length. Their secondary structure includes four short double-helical elements and three loops (D, anti-codon, and T loops). NCBI's taxonomy places the organism in Bacteria, Pseudomonadati, Planctomycetota, Planctomycetia, Pirellulales, Pirellulaceae. The record is from Rfam.